CCAACGGCCCUCUUUAGGGCCACAAAUGAACGACGAAUACGCUUUUU
Non-coding RNA from Oesophagostomum dentatum (nodular worm), 47 nucleotides. The record is from Rfam. NCBI's taxonomy places the organism in Eukaryota, Metazoa, Nematoda, Chromadorea, Rhabditida, Strongylidae.